RNAcentral lists this ribosomal RNA (497 nucleotides) under uncultured bacterium. RNAcentral's name for it is "partial 16S ribosomal RNA". It matches the Rfam family "Bacterial small subunit ribosomal RNA", at positions 28 to 507 of the family's 1533-position model. The record is from RNAcentral.
GAUGAACGCUGGCGGCGUGCCUAAUACAUGCAAGUCGAGCGAACGGACGAGAAGCUUGCUUCUCUGAUGUUAGUGGCGGACGGGUGAGUAACACGUGGAUAACCUACCUAUAAGACUGGGAUAACUUCGGGAAACCGGAGCUAAUACCGGAUAAUAUUUUGAACCGCAUGGUUCAAAAGUGAAAGACGGUCUUGCUGUCACUUAUAGAUGGAUCCGCGCUGCAUUAGCUAGUUGGUAAGGUAACGGCUUACCAAGGCAACGAUGCAUAGCCGACCUGAGAGGGUGAUCGGCUACACUGGAACUGAGACACGGUCCAGACUCCUACGGGAGGCAGCAGUAGGGAAUCUUCCGCAAUGGGCGAAAGCCUGACGGAGCAACGCCGCGUGAGUGAUGAAGGUCUUCGGAUCGUAAAACUCUGUUAUUAGGGAAGAACAUAUGUGUAAGUAACUGUGCACAUCUUGACGGUACCUAAUCAGAAAGCCACGGCUAACUACGUG